CGAAAGCCUGACGGAGCAAUACCGCGUGAGGGAGGAAGGCUCUUGGGUUGUAAACCUCUUUUCUCAAGGAAGAAGUUCUGACGGUACUUGAGGAAUAAGCAUCGGCUAACUCCGUGCCAGCAGCCGCGGUAAUACGGAGGAUGCAAGCGUUAUCCGGAAUUAUUGGGCGUAAAGCGUCCGCAGGUGGUUACUCAAGUCUGCUGUCAAAGACCAGAGCUUAACUCUGGAAAGGCGGUGGAAACUGAGAAACUAGAGUCCGGUAGGGGUAGCGGGAAUUCCCAGUGUAGCGGUGAAAUGCGUAGAUAUUGGGAAGAACAUCGGUGGCGAAGGCGCGCUACUGGGCCGGAACUGACACUCAGGGACGAAAGCUAGGGGAGCGAAAGGGAUUAGAUACCCCUGUAGUCCUAGCUGUAAACGAUG
RNAcentral lists this ribosomal RNA (420 nucleotides) under uncultured cyanobacterium. RNAcentral's name for it is "bacterial SSU rRNA". It matches the Rfam family "Bacterial small subunit ribosomal RNA", at positions 376 to 811 of the family's 1533-position model. The record is from RNAcentral. Lineage: Bacteria; Bacillati; Cyanobacteriota.